Pimephales promelas (fathead minnow) is the source of this 537-nucleotide long non-coding RNA. RefSeq lists it as uncharacterized. The record is from RefSeq and is a predicted model, not a curated record. Lineage: Eukaryota; Metazoa; Chordata; Actinopteri; Cypriniformes; Leuciscidae.
CUUCCCUACUAUUUAGUAUGGGAAAAAGAGUAGGCGAGCAAAAAAGUAUGAAUGAAUCCAAAAGAGUAGGCGAGAAUUACCUGGGUGACGUAGCAAUUGUCGCGAGAUUCGGACUUAAGUGCGUUCCAAUAUGCCUACUUUCCUACUAUAUAGUAGGCGAAAACAGUACGUGAAGGAAGCAGUACGUUCCAAACAUCAGUUUUCAUAAAAAGAGUAGGCGAGAAGUUCCCGGAUGGCUUACUGCUUCCGCCCAGAUUUUUGAGUGCUUUUCCACGGCUACUCAUGAUACUCAUCUAUCCCAGGAGGCCACGCGAGAGGAUACGUCAAUAUCAACAUCGCGGAGAUAAGCGACGCGGGGGUUUUCAAAUGGACAGGAGAACACGCGUGUGUUUAUCCAGUGGAGAGAGGCUCAUGAUGCUGAAUGCUGUCAUCAAAGAAUGGGAACCGCUGUGUUGAGUCGGCAGUAGGGUUUGGGGUUCAGUGCCUGUAAAUACAUGCUUGUAGUUUGAAUAAAGCUGUUUCAUGUGUUGACUUGUA